GCGGGCGUGGCGGAACUGGUAGACGCGCAGGAUUUAGGAUCCUGUGGGCGAAAGCUCGUGGAGGUUCGAUUCCUCUCGCCCGCA
This 84-nucleotide transfer RNA is filed under the name Thermoleophilia bacterium. RNAcentral's name for it is "tRNA-Leu". It matches the Rfam family "tRNA". Rfam says of the family: Transfer RNA (tRNA) molecules are approximately 80 nucleotides in length. Their secondary structure includes four short double-helical elements and three loops (D, anti-codon, and T loops). The record is from RNAcentral. Lineage: Bacteria; Bacillati; Actinomycetota; Thermoleophilia.